ACCAUUUCUUUUUGUACAAUGAGUCAAAAAGAAAACUUUAUCGAUAAUUUUAUAAGAUAGUCGUCAUUGGUUUUGGCCCGUCUUAUGAAAAUUGAGGAUGGAGUUAGAAGAGUGAUAUAUCGAAGAAUACCAAUUUAAUACGGAGACAUUUUAUUGCAAUAUUAAAGUACAUAUAUACGUCUUUUUUUUUGUUAACCGGUUGAAGAGAAAGGAAAACAAAAAGAAAAGAAAAGAAUAGAGAGAGAAAAAGAGAGAGAGAGAGAGAGAGGAGAGAGAGAGAGAGAGAGCAAAUGUCUGCUACGAAAGUAAUCGAUCUUUCCAUCGAUCUAUCGUCCAUCGUUUCAUACCUACCUGAUCAUGAUCAAGAAGGAACAUGGAAUUUUUCUUUUUUAAAAUCACCCAAUCAUUAUCGCUCCAAUUUAAUGAUAAUGUUUAUAGUACUGAAGGUAAAAAAAUUGAAAUGAAAAAGAUUUAAACGAUUAAAGAAAUAAGAAAAGUGAACAUAAAAAAGUAAAAAAAAUAAAAAGAAAUAAAAAAAAAUAAAAAAAAAAAAAUAAAAAAAAAGAGAGAGGAAGAGUGAGAGAGUUGGGGGACGACUCUGUCCAUCGCGAUGUGUCGUUAUCGUUAUCAGGGUGGGGCUUCGAUAUCGAUGAGGGCCUCCCUAACGGGAUUUUCCUAUCAGUUGUCUCUUGGCACGGUUACUUGCUUGUUUGCGCGCGCGCGCGCGCGCGCACGCACUCACUCACUCACUCACUCACUCACUCACUCACUCACUCACUCAUGUACAAACCCUCUUACAAUCUUAACACGUAAAUGGUCAAAUAUUAUAGAUAAAUUCUUGUAUAUGUAUGUCUAUGUUUGUGUGUGUAUCACACACAUCAAACUCUUUCUCUCUCUCUCUCCUCUGCUCUUUCUUUUUCUAUAUACAUAUAUUUUAUAUAUAUAGGGCCCAAUGCACACGUUCUACUAGUACGGCCAACUUGGAGACUCACCUUUUUCGCUUGUAACAUUAACGUGAUCGACGUCGCACGCGAUGAAUCUCAUUUUUCGAAAUUCUCCUGCCAGUUUAGAUAUCUUUGAAAAGACGAUUACGAGAACGAUAUGACUUUAGUAUCAUUGUAUCGGCGUGUACGAACGAACGAACGAACGAACGAACGAACGAACUUACGAAUGUUAUAUGGACCAUCGUUAACGGGAAAAUUUCUGUGUGUGAAAUAAUAUCUAAAAGGAAGGAAAAGGGAGAGGUAGUGAACAGCUGAUCGAAGGGAUUGAGGAUGAUCGGCCAUAUACUUCUUACACGUACUUCUUCUUCUUCUUCUUCUUCUUCUUCUUCUUGCCAAGUUUUUGUGCAGUGUUAAAAAGAAAAGAGAAAGAAAGAAAAGAAAGAGAAAGAGGGAUAUAGCGAGCGGGAAAAAGGGAGAGAUAGAUAGAAAGAAAGAGAGAGAGAGAGAAAGAGGGAAAAAGGUUUGCCCGACCCUCAGUUGGAAGUGAGGAUCUAGGCAGUGAGUAAUAAAAGCUCUGAUAACUUGCCAGAUCUAACUCUUCCAGCUCAAGGUUGUGCGGAUUAUCGUCGUCGAUCAUCGAAAUUGAUUCUUCCGACUUUCUUGAUCCAAGGAAUAUGAUCUCGCGUCUAAACAAGAAUAAAACAUAUAUAUAUAUAUAUAUAUAUAUAUAUAUAUAUAUAUAUAUAUAUAGAGAGAGAGAGAGAGAGAGAGAGAGAGAGA
Molecule: long non-coding RNA, 1724 nt
Organism: Vespa velutina
Lineage: Eukaryota; Metazoa; Arthropoda; Insecta; Hymenoptera; Vespidae
Exons: 2
Source: RefSeq, a predicted model, not a curated record